GUAGGUGGGUGGGUUAUUUUCAAAAUUUGAUAUUGGUUGGCUCGAUAAUUGAUCUAAUUCUCUCCUCAUAGUAGACUGAGUUAAUUGAUCUAUUUGUACUUCUAGCCUGGUGAGGGAUUGUUGUUGUAUCAUAAUCAUUUGUUGAAGUUGGCUAAACCUAUCAUCGGCUAGAGGGGUCUGUUGAGGAGGUGGGUAUGGAAGCUGAUUGUAAUAGGAUGGCUAGA
This 224-nucleotide long non-coding RNA is filed under the name Elaeis guineensis (African oil palm). RNAcentral's name for it is "long non-coding RNA (EGUI_LNC057113)". Lineage: Eukaryota; Viridiplantae; Streptophyta; Magnoliopsida; Arecales; Arecaceae. The record is from RNAcentral.